RNAcentral lists this ribosomal RNA (487 nucleotides) under uncultured bacterium. Its description in RNAcentral is "bacterial SSU rRNA". It matches the Rfam family "Bacterial small subunit ribosomal RNA", at positions 28 to 526 of the family's 1533-position model. The record is from RNAcentral.
GAUGAACGCUGGCGGCAUGCCUAACACAUGCAAGUCGAACGGAGUUGGAGGUAGCUUGCUACUGACAACUUAGUGGCGGACGGGUGAGUAACGCGUGAGUAACCUGCCUCUAAGAGGGGGAUAACGUUCUGAAAAGAACGCUAAUACCGCAUAUAAUUACGAAAUCGCAUGAUUUUGUGAUGAAAGGAGCAAUCCGCUUAGAGAUGGACUCGCGUCUGAUUAGCUAGAUGGUGGGGUAACGGCUCACCAUGGCGACGAUCAGUAGCCGGACUGAGAGGUUGAACGGCCACAUUGGGACUGAGACACGGCCCAGACUCCUACGGGAGGCAGCAGUGGGGGAUAUUGCGCAAUGGGGGAAACCCUGACGCAGCAAUGCCGCGUGAAGGAUGAAGGUUUUCGGAUUGUAAACUUCUUUUGUUAAGGACGAUAAUGACGGUACUUAACGAAUAAGCUCCGGCUAACUAUGUGCCAGCCGCCGCCGUAAUAC